UUGGCAAAUAAAUUUCUGAUUUAAUCUUUAUCAAUGUUCCACUGAGUUUACUUACACAUGCCCACAACUUACAAAGAUAUUCUAUUAAGCACAUAUUGAUUGAGAUUCUAAUACAAUCUCUCUAUAUCAACGUAGGUCAAUGGACGUUCUAUCGUCGAGGUGACCCCAAUAUAUAUCGUCUAUACGAGUCAACAAAUGCAUCAUCACUCACAUUUCUUUAUAACCAUAGAUAUUAUUGGAUAUAAUCUCUCUAUAUCAACGCAAGUCAAAAGACAUUCUACGGUCGUCGAGAUGACCCCAAUAUAUAUCAUAUAUACGAGUCAACAAAUGCAUCAUCACUCACAUUUCUUUAUAACCAUAGAUAUUAUUGGAUAUAAUCUCUCUAUAUCAACGCAGGUCAACAGACAUUCUACGGUCGUCGAGAUGACCCCAAUAUAUAUCGUCUAUGCGAGUCGACAAGUACAUCAUCACUCACCCUUCUUUAUGACCAUAGAUAUUGUUGGAUAUAUGGAUAGUGCUUAUGAUCCGCUGAUUAAGUGAGUCAAGUCCACGCCUAGUACAUUUGCAAGCACGUUGGCUCCAACUUGGAGAAGGAAAUGUCCUACUCUUCCUCCUCCUCCUCCUCCGCCGCCGCCGCCGCCGCCACCGCCGUUGUCUGACGCCGACGUCGACGGACGCACAUUCGGUGGCAGCUGGAUGCACUGAGGAUGCAGAUCAAAGGCACACAGUUGGCACCUGUAAUGAAUCCCAUGCACCGGAAACCGGCAACCGUCGCAGAAUAUUCCGUCAGACGGGUGGGGCGGCGGCUGCAGCCACAGCUGGUGCUGCGGGUGCUGCGAGCACAAGAUGGCUUGUGGGCACGUCUGGAACAAGGAGUGAUUCGGCUGCAUGAUGUGGAAGAUCGUCCUGUCCUUCGCUCUUCACGCCCGGGAAGGAGAAGAGAUAACUUUGGGGAGAUCGCUGCGAGCACGAGAUGGCUUGUUUUCUCUUCACGCUGGGGAAGGAGAAGAGAUAACAGGUGGUAUUUAUAGACUUGGGAGAGGGAAGCAGUAGAGAUAGUUUGUAUUUCUUAAGCAAAUAUUACUUACUUUGGGGGAGUAGACUUGAGGAUUCGUUGACCAAUUCAUUUAUUAUUGAGAGGUCAUCGAUGUUAAUGAUGGUGUUGACUAGGUAGUAUAUAUUUCAUAGACAAAGAUGACUUGAGGAGUAGACUCGAGGUCGCCUACGCGUUUUUGUAGAUUGAGAAUCGUGAUAAAUAUCUUUAUAAAUAAAUAAAUUUUUUUAUUGAGAGGUGUCCGAGAAACUACCAACAUCAAUAAUGAUGUUGACUAGUUAAUAUGUACACCUUAGAUUCUAAGACGACUCAUGUCCGUCAUCUUAAUUAUCUAUCUUUCAUUUCAACAAAUAAGCAACAUCAAAAUAAUAUUUAUUAUGUUUUAUCCUAAACGAACGAGAUUAGAAGUGUUUUUCGGAUUCCUAAAUUAAUGAUAUAUUAAACAAAUAAUCUACACGGAAAAAGGAGCCACAUUUACUUGAAGAAAAGAAUAUGAUAUAUAAAUAAAACACAUCUAUAUGAGGUUACCGACAUCAAUUUAUUGAAAUAAAUAAAAUAUAUCUAUAUAUUAAAAUAAAUAGAUAUAUGAGAGGUUAUCGACAUCAAUAAUGAUGUUGACUAGUUAACAUGUAUACCUUAGAAUCUAAGACGACACAGAAGUUGACUCGGUCGUCGUCGUGUAGAACGUGUGGUUCAUCUCAUCUUAUCUAUCUUUCAUUACAAUAAAUAAGUAUCAUUUAUAAUAAUAUUUAUUAUGUUUUAUCCAAAACGAAUGAGCUUAGAAGUGUUUUUCGGAUUCCUAAAUUAAUGAUAUAUUAAAUAAAUAAUCUACACGAAAAAAGGAGAGACUUUUUUGCUUCAAGAAAAAAAUAUGAUAUACAAAUAAAACACAUCUAUAUGAGUCUACCGACAUCAAUUUAUUGAAAUAAAGAAAAUAUAUCUAUUUAUUAAAAUAAAUAAAAUAUAUCUAUUUAUUGAAAUAAAUAGAUAUAUGAGAGGCUAUCAACAUCAAUAAUGAUGUUGACCGGUUAACAUGUAUACCUUAGAAUCAAAGACCAACAAAAGAGUAGACUCGGUCGUCGUCGUGUAGAACGCGUGGUUCAUCUCAUCUUAUCUAUCUUUCAUUACAAUAAAUAAGCAUCAUUAUAAUAAUAUUUAUUAUGUUUUAUCCAAAACGAAUGAGCUUAGAAGUGUUUUUCGGAUUCCUAAAUUAAUGAUAUAAUAAAUAAAUAAUCUACACUGAAAAAGGAGUGACUUUUGCUUCAAGAAAAAAAUAUAAUAUACAAAUAAAACACAUCUAUACAAGUCUACCGACAUCAAUUUAUUGAAAUAAAUAGAUAUAUGAGAGGUUAUCGAUAUCAAUAAUAAUGUUAACUAGUUAACAUGUAUACCUUAGAAUCAAAGAUCGACAAAAGAGUAGACUCGGUCAUCAUCGUGUAGAACACGUGGUUCAUUACUAGUUAACAUGUAUACCUUAUCUAUCUUUCAUUACAAUAAAUAAGCAUCAUUAUAAUAAUAUUUAUUAUGUUUUAUCCAAAACGAAUGAGCUUAGAAGUAUUUUUCGGAUUCCUAAAUUAAUGAUAUAUUAAAUAAAUAAUCUACACGGAAAAAAGAGAGACUUUUUACUUCCAGAAAAAAAUGUGAUAUACAAAUAAAACACAUGACUUUUCUAUUACGCCCAGAAAGGUAAAUAAUAUUUUUUUAAAAAAUAUAUAUGAAUUUUUUUUAAGAUGUUAUAUAAUUUAGUCAGGAAAAACCUUAAUUGCUUAAUAUUAUAAUUUUUAAUCAAAAUUUGCCUCUUUCAUUUACCCAUGACAUGAAUACAAGUAAACGAUGUUAAACAAAGUAAUUUACUUGUCAUGAGAGAUUAGGGCCAUAAUUAUUAAACAUCAUUACCCAUUUUUUGGGUACAUUUUAAUUACACUUAAUGGCAAUUUUGCUAUGCUUAAUUAUUUUAAACAAUAGUUUAGCUCAAGUGAGUUUAUUUAUUUAUUUGUUUAUUCGAAGGUAGUCGUAUCUUCCCUGCUUCGACUACAUCAGGCAACUCCUAAUUCUAUCUUGCUAUGUCCCCCCACGUGUCAGCUUAGUAGACCCAAUCGGGGACGGUUGGGGAGACAGGGAAGCAGGAACCGGAUGGUGGACCCCUGCAACUUCCGCCCAAUCGGGAGGGCGGUUCCCUGUUUGGUAAACUUUAUCGGUCCACUCACCAAAUGUUGGAUCCCUUCCGCUACAUCGCCACAGUUACUGAAUUAUAUGCUUCUUAAAAGGGAAUAAAAAGAGAAGAAAAGAAAAAGAAAAAUGGACGCGAGAGCGAAGGAAGCGAAGCGGCGAGAAAAUCGAAGAGGGGGAAGACGAGAGAACUAAUUCGUAGCUAUAUAUAUGUAUUAAAUAUAUGUAAUCGUAAUUUCCGAUCCACUCUCCUUCCGCUCGAGCGGCCUCGACGACACAAGGAGCUCGUAUCAAACCGCUGCGGACUUCCUCUGAUUUUUCCAAGGUAGAAACCCUAAUUUUCUUGCGUGAAAUCGAGAAAGAUUUCGUCUUCCGAUCAUUUUGAUGAAGUAAAAGUUCUUGGGAGUUAAAAGAUCGGUCUUUUUAAACGAUUUUCUUAGUGUUAUCUGAAUGCUCGAGAUCGAGAAAGAUCGCGCCUUUCCGUCGUGUUGAUUGACACUAAGGUUCUUGGGAGGAAAAAGAUCGCUUUUUUUUUUGACGAUUUUUUCGUGCUUUUUUUUUUUUUGAGGGCGUUUUGAUUUCAGGGCUCCGAUCCAUGGGGAUUCAAGUGUGGGGUUAGGGUUUGCUGGUACUUGGACCCAAGGCUGGAAUUAGGUUUCUCUUCGUGCGUCUGAUUUUUUUUUUUUUCGUGGUAGUCUUUGGAUUUUGACGAGGGUUAGGAUUUUCCUUCGGCACGACCGCUUGGGAGUUAAAUGAUCGCUUUUUUAAACGAUUUUCUUAGUGUUAUCUGAAUGCUCGAGAUCGAGAAAGAUCGCGCCUUUCCGUCGUGUUGAUUGAUGCUAAGGUUCUUGGGAGGAAAAAGAUCGCUUUUCUUUUUUUACCGAUUUUUCGUGCUUUUUUAUUAUUAUUUUUUUGGUGAGGGCGUUUUGAUUUCAGGGCUCCGAUCCGUUGGGAUUCAAGUGUGGGGUUAGGGUUUUCUGGUACUUGGACCCAAGGCUGGAAUUAGGUUUCUCUUCUUGGGUCUGAUGGUUUUUCUUUCGUGGUAGUCUUGGAUUUUGACUAGGGUUCGGGUUUUCUUUCGGCACGACUGCUUGAGGGCCUACGUGACGUUGCGGAAUGGCGGACGGGAGGAUGAAGGCUGUCGCUGAUGAUGAUGAAAGAAGGGAUUGGGACGAUGAGGUCGGGCAGCAGGAUGAUGAUGAGGCUGAAGAAUUUGAGGAGCUGGAGCUUGGGCUUUCUCUGGGGCGUUGGGGAUGCAAUUCAGGGCUGACGAAUGGUGGCAGGGAUGAUGGCGGAGAGCGCGACUGUGUCCUUCCCUUCCGGUGGAGAGGGGCAUCGGGUGCUCAUGGUUUUAUGAGAGGCAGUCAGCUACAAGGCAUUUCAUCGCAAGAUAAACAAAUUUGAGGACAUGGGGUGAGGAACUGGUGGGUGCGGUAGCUAUUGCCUCAGGAAAGAGAUGUUAGCUUGCCAGAUGAAGCAGUUUUCGAGAUGGAGAGAACUGGAUCAGAUAUAGACAGGGAUACUCAGCUCGAGCGGCCUAAAGUAUUUGCUUCCCCAAAGUAAGUUCUUGUUUUGUGUUAUCCUUGCCAUCUAACCCCUGUCAUGAUUUCCAUGUUUGAGUCGUCAAAAGUAAUAUAUUUCAUAAGUUGGUGCAUUCGUUUCGAAAGGUCUGUAUUUGCUACUAUGAUCUUUUCAUGCAAAUGCUUUUCAUGAAAAUUCUAAGACGAUUGAUUUGGUAAUUACUGUAUGGAUUCAAAUACUUGCAACAUUCCGACCACACCAUAAUGAUAUAAUACUUGUAUACCAAUGUACCAAUGAUAUUGGUUGGUACCGACACACUGAAUAUUUUCUGUAAUUUUAUGGUGUACGAGGCACACCAUAUUUUGAGACUCUUCUAUCUAUAGGUACCAAUAUUGGUAUUUUGAGCCGGGAGACCACUUUUCCAAACAUCUAAGCUAGUGGGAAAGCUCCAAGCUUAUUUAUAAGCUUAAACAUCCCUUUCAUGUAUAUGCCAGAUGAAAGAUUGUUGGACUUAGCAUGUUAAUGCGAUUUAGGAUACAAACUCAUGAUUUGCUUUGAUACCAUGCUAAUACAAGUAGUUGGAUGUACUGCCACUUUUCCAAUAGCUUAGAUUAGUUCGGAAGGAGCUAAUUUAUAUUAUAUAAGCCCCACAAUGUGCACCCUUAUAACUAGGAAAUUAGAAUAUCUAGGGAAAUCAAUACACUUGACAAAGGGCAAAAUUGAGAAGUGGUUUUACUAAAAAAAUGAGAUAACAAAAAAUAGAAUUUCUUAGUAUGUUUUGGGCAUUACAAGUAGAUUUUCUUUGUAGUACCCAAUUGAGUGGGAAGGGAGUCCGAGUUGGAGGUGUUAUAUGGCACAUAUGAAGACCAAAGAAGUUUUUGAGUAAUUCGGGAAAAGGUGUUGCCCACUCUGAUUAAAGGAAUGAUCCCUAUUCUAAGCAGAAUGUCUGACAAAGUUUUUUAAUUACUUUCAGGUUUUAGAAUUAUUAAAGAUCUUUGUUAAAUUAAACUGACAAUGUUUAUGAUGUAAUGCAUAUGAUGGAAUUUCCAGAUACUUGAACAUAAACUCGUGUUGCCUAGUUAAUUGAGUUUCAUGUGUGUUUCUUGGUCAUUGUCCCAGCAAUUGAGAUUUCAACCCUUUAAGAAGUUUCUCUAUCACAACCUAUUCCUCAUUUACUUCGUUGAUGCUGUUUUGAAUCUUAUACAGCCCAAGCAUGAUGACUUGAAGGGAACAGAUUAAUUCUUUUCUCUCAGAAGAAAUUUCUCAGAAGUCUUCAAGUUUCAGAGGUCCAAUAUGCAUACCCUUCUGUACCGUAAGACUUCAGGUCCUCAAACCAGAGACUCUCUUGAGUUUCUUCUCUAUUGGCAUUUCCAUGCAUGGUGAACCAACCAGAAAAAUGAAUCAUAUCCCACAAGAAGGAAUUUGUCGUCACCACAAAUCAUUUUUUCAUUGUCUUCAAGAACUUCUUUUGUUGGAGAAUCGCUGCUAUUUGCAGCUUGAAUAGAGAACAAACUAUAAGGCAACGUGGGCUUGAUUAUUUGGUUUUUGUGCUCGACAAAAUCAUGGGUUAGUCACUUUCGACAAUGCUUUAGUUGUCACUCUUUAUGGAGACAUGUUAUUGUUGCAUCUUCCUCCGAGAUGCUUAAACUUACAUUAGUUGUGACUCUUCUUCUUAUCUUGCAAUUUCCACAAUGAACCACAGCCUCUUCUUGAUUUUGAAGUCUACAUCAUCUUACCAUCCAAUCCCAUAGUAGGUACUUAUCAAUUUUACCUCUCCAUGCUAAUCAUUAUUAGUUUUAUUUAUAGGCAAUUUGGAUCUUGUAGACUUAAAUACAGUGAACUUUGCUAUCUAAGCUGAAAUAAUACUGAAUGGCAUAGCAGCUCUUUGGUCAAAGCAGAGUUCCAGGCAGGAGAUUGCUCCGACAUGGGCAAGAUCACUCUAAAGGAGCUUCUCAGAUUAGAUAUAUCCUCUCUGCAUAAUAUUGUUUUUUUUUUGUACCCUUUCCGUUUACAAAUAAAUUAUAGACCAUUUGCAGGCUUUGAAGGCAUCUUUCAACACUUUUGCUGAAAGCGAUCUUUCCUAAUCGACCAUACACUUUAUGCAGAGUCAUAAUCAGUAAUUCAUGUCUUGUUUCUGUGGUCAACACCCUGCGAGUCAUGUGAGUGGCUUGCUGUCAAUUGGCAUUGACGAAUUUUUUUUAAUAUAAAAUUAACUAUUACUUAUUAAAAAACUAUAUGCAUAUUCGGAUUGUAUGCUGCGAGGAGAUGUGCUUCGAUAUUUAUAUUUCUCGAAACAUGAAGAAAUUUAAAUACUUUGACUUUCCUUUGAUAUGGAUUUUGUAAUAAUGAUAUAAGUGUCAAGUUUGCCUUAUCGAUAUAAUUUGUAUAUAUUUUUUGAGUUUGAGCGUAUUUGAAUAUUUUGGAUUCCAAGAGAAUAAGUUUUAAGAAAGUCUUUAGUCGAAGUUGUCGGUAGCACGACGACAAGCUCCAAUAGUAAUUAUCAUUCUUCUAUCUAAAAUUUUGUAAAUCUCAAAUUAGACGUAAAAGCUUUUAUUAUAAUUAGUAAUAUAGUUAAAAUUAUGAGACAGUAAUGAAUAGUUUAAAUUAGUAUUAGUAGUCAUCCCCUCAAUAAUGUUUCUAUAAAGAAAUAAAUUAGAUGCGAUAGUGAAGUAGCAAUGAAGCUGAGAAUGGUUGUAGGGAAUUAGAAGAAGAAAUCUCAAGAAAUAGGAAGAUGAUCUCAAAACAUAUUUCAAAAAAAUAUUUUAAUUUUUAGGUAAACAUUUAAAUCGCACGUCAAUAUUCCUCUUCCUUCAAUUCCUUCUUUUUUCGAUAAUUGAUAAGUGUUUUUAGAGUACACGAUAGCCGAUUAUAAGUGUAGAACCGAACUCUCGACUUUAAAAAAUAGAAUUGAAGUAGUUGAAUCUUAUAUAUAAUGAUAGAGGUAAAGGUACCAUUACCUAAAUUUUUUAUUUUUUUCUUUCGUACAACUUUAUUGCCCAUCUAAUUCAUUCCUAUGCGCCUUUAAUCUCGUAUCGAUAAAACCAGUUGUUUAAUGAAAUUUUUAUCACCAAUCUAAUUCAUUUCUUACCCUUUAUCGAUAAUUUUUAUCACCAAGCUUUGUCAUUUGAAAUAAAAAUCCAACGAUCGAGUUGCUUGUAAUAUGAAUUUUUUUUUUUUUAACAAGGAUUGGAUGAAAACAAUCUUAUUGUGUUAAGGAAUUCUAGAAUGAUUUUUAAAGAAGUUAGAUAUCAAAAAGUAGGUAUUUAAGGUGUUUGGAUUGAUAUAUAUUAGCAAUUCAUAGUUCUUAGAGGCAAAGAUAUUUGAUCCUAUAGUCAUCUACUUUUUGAUACCUAAUUUGGGGUUGCCAAAUAAGAGAAAAUAAAAGCUUCCAAUUAGCAAAUGAUUGAGUGUUUUAUUUUAAAUCUCAAGAGUUAUCUUAUCAUUAUUAUUAAUAAGGAUUUUGUCCUAUGAAAUGAAUACAUUUUUGACAGUGUGAUGCUGAAUACCCAAACCAUCAUUUUAUUAUUUUAAUUAUUAUUCUAAAAAAACUAUUUGGAUAUUAUUGAGAAUCUGUUUAGACAUUUCAUGUUCAUAAGAAAAUGAAUAAGAAUCGAAUUAACAGCAGAAUUGAUCUUUGACUGAGAGAUGAGACAACAUUUUGGCAAAUAAAAUUCUGAUUUAAUCUGUAUCAAUGUUCCACUGAGUUUACUUACACAUGCCCGCCCACAACUUACAUAGAUCUUCCAUCGAGCACCUAUAGAUUGAGAUUCUAAUACAAUAUCUCUUUGUCAACGUUGGUCAACGGACGUUCUACAGUUGUCAACGCAGGUCGACGGACGCACUGAGGAUGCAGAUCAAAGUCACACAGGCUGCACCUGCAAUGAAUUCCUCGCACCGGCAACUGGCAACCGUCGCAGAAUCUUUGGCCAAACGGGUGGGGCGUCGACUGCGGCGACAGCCGGUAAUGCAAGCACAGUUCUUGUGGAGGUCGAAGUCGCUGGCGUCGCAGCGGUAGUGGGAGCCGAAGCCGGGGCACCGACAGCAUCCGGAACAAGGGUCGCUUCGGCCCUGUCCAUCGCUCUAGCUCUUCGCGCCCGGGAAGGAGAAGAGAUCACAGGUAUUUAUAGACUCGGGAGAGGGAAGCAGCAAAGCAAGCACGUUUAUCGAAUUCAUUUAUUGCGACGCCGCUGAUGUCAAUGGCGGCGUUGACUUUUUUUUUCGGCAGUGAAUGCGUCUCUUGACUUGGACGUCGUCUUCGC
RNAcentral lists this long non-coding RNA (9003 nucleotides) under Musa acuminata (dwarf banana). Its description in RNAcentral is "long non-coding RNA (MACU_LNC003884)". Lineage: Eukaryota; Viridiplantae; Streptophyta; Magnoliopsida; Zingiberales; Musaceae. The record is from RNAcentral.